UAGGGAAUAUUGCACAAUGGGCGAAAGCCUGAUGCAGCAACGCCGCGUGCGCGAUGAAGGCCUUCGGGUUGUAAAGCGCUUUUCGGGGAGAUGAGGAAGGACAGUAUCCCCGGAAUAAGGCUCGGCUAACUACGUGCCAGCAGCCGCGGUAAAACGUAGGAGCCAAGCGUUAUCCGAAUUCACUGGGCGUAAAGCGUGUGCAGGCGGUCUGAUAAGUUGGAUGUGAAAUCUCCCGGCUCAACUGGGAGAGGCCGUUCAAUACUGUUAGACUAGAGGGCAACAGAGGAAGGUGGAAUUCCCGGUGUAGUGGUGAAAUGCGUAGAUAUCGGGAGGAACACCAGUGGCGAAGGCGACCUUCUGGGUUGCACCUGACGCUCAGACACGAAAGCUAGGGGAGCGAACGG
This 404-nucleotide ribosomal RNA is filed under the name uncultured bacterium. RNAcentral describes it as "bacterial SSU rRNA". It matches the Rfam family "Bacterial small subunit ribosomal RNA", at positions 355 to 775 of the family's 1533-position model. The record is from RNAcentral.